CAGGGGUGAUGUGGCCGGGCAGGGGUGAGGUGGUGACAAGAGGUUGUGGCUGACAGGAAAAAGAAAAGACCAGAAAGCAAACAGCGGGUACUUAAGUCAUUUAGCUUUAGAGAUGUCACAACACUCACAGCUUUACUAUCUAGAGGAAGAUGUAAAAGUCACAUGAUAUUUGCAAACUGUGUUGUUGCUGUUUCCAAAACAGGGUCCUACAGAACUAGCUCGUCCUGGCCUCGAACUCGCUUUGUAGCUGAGAAUGAUGUUCUGCUCAGAUCACAGCCUGUGGUACCAUGCCUGGGCUAUGCAGUGCUGAUGUUUGAACCCAGGGCUCUGUGAAUGCAAGCACGCUCUGGCCAAGCUGUGUUGCUGGUUUACACUUUGCUUUGUUGUGGUCUUUUUUAUUUGCCUGUUUUGUCUGAGAACCAUUUUCCCAGACAGCUCUGCCAGGCCCCAGCUGCUAGGGUUUCACCAAGGGAAGUGAGGGAAAGACCUUUGUCCUCAAGGAGAUCAGGUGAGAGAGCUUACACGGUGGUAAGGGGAGGGAGGAGGGAGGGAAGGAGAGAGAGAGAAAGCAGGAGCAGUAGAUGGCAGAGAGGGCUUUAUUUUUCUUUCUCUCAGUUUACUUAUUUUUAUCUAAUGUGCUGGGUGUUUUAUCUGCAUAAAACAUACAUGCAGUGUCUGUGGAGGCCAGAGGAGGGUGUCUGACCCAGUGCGGCUGGGGUUACAGGGUGGUGAACUGUCAUGUGGGUGCUGGGAAUUGAACCUAGAGCCUCUGCCAUAGCAGCCAGUGCUUUCAACCGCUGAGCCAUCUCUCCGACUGCCAGGAGGGUUUGCUCUUAAGCAAGAUGUCAGCAUUGCUGAGAAAAGAGCUGAGCCAAGGAGAAGGGAGCAGUAGAGAUGCCCAGAGCAGGAAUAGCCAUGCUGAGUGUGGGGUCAAGUGCAAGUUCUCUGAGGCAGGAGACUGCCGGGCAUGGGUGGAACAGUUUAUGCUGUGUGGAGGGAACCAGGGGAAAGCAGCCCUGGCUUCAGAGCUAGGGUGCAGACAGAUGCCCGAAGGCCCUGCUUGGGACAGCAGGAACUCAGGAAAACACGCAGGUUGACUCCCUGGGAACCGAGGCUGCUGAGGCCUCUGUGGGCACCACUGGGAGGCCCUGACCUGGUUGUGAUGAUGCUGUGCUGUGCAGAAAAGUAGGGAGGGCUGCUGUCCAGUGUGCCCAAGUAUGUGAUACCCAUGGGAAGGGAUCUGUGGACACCCCUGCAAAUUCAAAAUUCUCUCAGGCAAUAGAGGCAGGAAAAUGGUUUGAAAUAUCCAUAUCUAUAUAUAAUAUUACUUCAUUUAAGUUUUUAGACAAUAGGAUUGGUAUUUAGGAAAUAGGAUUUUUAAAUCCAAACUCAUCUUUUUAAAUAAUGUUUUUUGAGAUUUUUAUUUUUAGAGACAGGGUUUAGAGCCCUGGCUGUCCUGGACUCGCUUUGUAGUCCAGGCUGGCCUUAAACUCACAGAGAUCCUCCUGACUCUGCCUCUGCUUCCUGAGUACUGGGAUUAAAGGGUGUAAACCACCAUGCCUGGCUGUUUUGAGAUUAUAAUUAAAACAUUCUCCCCAUAACUUUUUAAAGCUUCAUUUAAAGUUGGCAUCGGGCUCAUUUCCAUUUUCUAAUAUUUUCUGUUCCUCAAAGGCAAUGUUGGCAUUGAAUAUAGGCUAAACAUUUAGUAUAGGCUGAACAUACAGUAUGCACACAUACCACCUUUAAAGAAAACCAAACCUGCCACUCUUAAAUAUUGCUAAUGAAGCCAGGUAAGGUGGCGUACACCUGUAAUCCCCAAAUGUGGGAGGUUGGGGCAGGGGGAUUUUUUUUUUUGAGGACAGCCUGGGCUCCACCAUGAGACUAUCUCAAGAGCCAAAAGCUAUCAUGUAGUCUGUGGUGGAUGCUUGGAGCAAUGGCAAGGCGCGUGUGUGCAUGCCUGCACGAGUGGCCCAAGCUACAUUUCUUCUUGUUGUCAGGUCCAGACAUGGAAGUUCUGGACCUGAGGGAACCUAUCAUUACCCUGCCCUUAGCCAGUGGACAGAGAGCUGAUAAUUCCGCUAUGUCAGUCUGUCUUGUACACUGUGGUGUGGUGUUGUGGUUUGAGGUGUCCACCAGCUAGCUGCUCAUCAACCACAUACAGAACUAUGAUUGUUGUUGAAUCAUGAUGCUCCUAAAGGGAGGCCUGAGUAGGAUGAUCUUCACAUGGAAGGCACAUCUGCUGGGUGCUUACAGUGGCUCACCCUCCAUCUCUCAGCUGCCCCUGGAGCCUUUCCUUGUGAGUGAAAAGUGUCUAUGUCCUGGUCAUCUAGAGGAAGGGAAGGUGGAAGUCCAGGCUUGGGGUACUGGUGAUUUUCUGGAAAACAGUGAGGAUGAGGGAAGGGACAUGAGCCCUCGGAGCGCUGGAAGCUGAGGCGGGGUACCAGGCAUUGCUAGGAAUCUAUGUGGAGAUGCUUGUGUGUUGGAGAGAGGUUGGGCUGACUGCUGGAAGGCAGACCUGUCUCAGAGAGGAGGGCGGCCCAGGCCACAGAUAUCCAGGGGGAGAAAGCUCUGCCUUUCCACCCUUUUGGGGUGGGGGGUAGGAGUGCUGGUUCAAACUCUGUAAGCAGAUUUGAGCAGACACAUCUCUGCCCCACCCUUGACAGUGGCUUGGCCUGGAUCUAAUCCCUCUGUUGUCUGUAAGUGGAAUUCACUUCUGAAGGAUGGAAGCUGGCAUGGCUCAGGACGGGGUGCACAGGGAAAGGAGCCGCCUGCCAUGGGUAGUUCUGUUUUACACACCUGCCAAGGCUUCCUCACAUACUCCCAGCACAGAGGGCAGUGGGAGGAUCCUCACUCUGUGAGGAGGACCGCAGCUCUGACUUGGCCCUGUGGCUUCCUCACAGCUGUGCUCUGUCCUCCACACGCUCCUAACCCCAGAGAGGCUGGUGUGCUCAAGUUCUCAGUGCUGCAGGUUAGUGGAUGUGUUAACCAAUCCCCCUGGGCCUCAAGGAUCCUUCUAGAAGGUGCUCAAGAGUCUGCAGACUGGAUGAGCCAGGCAAACUCCACAACAGCAAACUAAAAAACCCCAGACAGGCUGGGCUUUCCAAACAGCAGGGGGCUCUAUUCACCCAUAUAAUAAAUGAAAACAAAAAUUUUUUUUUUCUCUUUCAGUACAGAUUUGCUGUGGUAACAUAAUUUUUAAAACUGCUUAGGAAUCAAAUACUACAUUUUAAAUUUAACAUUUAAAUAAUUAUUAAAAUUUAAUUUAAAAGACAAAGAAAAGCCCUGCCAGGGCAGGAGGGUGUGGUCAGCAGUAGAGCACAGACAUACAGGAGCUCUGGCUUCAGACCCAGGGCCCCCCUGCAUAACACCCAUUAUAGAAAAUUCUUCAAAAGUGCGACCACACCCACUGCUCACGGAGUCCGACCUGGCCGGGCUCACCAUCCACAUGGCUACAGUAAUUAUCACACUGACAGUAGCAGCUCAGGCAUUUUCAGGGGAUUUGGUGAGCGUGGCCCUGAGGUAAGUGCUUCUGUCACUGGCUCCCUAAUUCUCAGAGCAGAGCGGCCCUGUGGGGAUCAUGUUGGCAGGAAACUGAGUCAGCCGGCCAGCCACACAGUCUUCCUCCAGUCUGCCUGGCUCCGAAGCCGAGAUCUUAACCACCUGGCCCUUCCACCUCACGGUGCUGCAAAUCACUUCUCCUUCUGGCCUCUCCCUGGGGUCUGGAAAGCAGCCAAGCGGUUGUAGGAAGCUCUCAUUUUGAACUCGGAGGAACUGGGAGUGAUCAUUACUCGUGAUCGGCGGUGGGGGGACGUCGGCAUGGGGGCACUCUAGUUUGCUCUGAAGUCUACAGCUGGAUGCAAGACGACCCUGGCAUUUCAGCCAACUGCUGCUUCGCCACUGACCCAGGGCAGGGCCGGGAGGGAGAAAACUUAGAUUCCAGCCCUGGCUUCUUUACUUUGAUGGGGGUCACACCUUCAGCUUCCUAAGCUUCUUGGAAACUUCAGGGAUUUGCUUGGCCUCCCUCAGAAUUCUGAACGGGUCCAGGACUGCACAGGUUGCCCCAGGGCGAUCGAUGCAAAGGGAGUGUUUUCUAUGGUGGGUACUGGUGUUUUCCUCUGAGGGAAGCAGCAGGCACGCCACCCGAGAGCAAAGCUUUGUGGAGGGAUAUUUUUGAGACUGAUGCAAAAGCCUAAGCAGUCAUGACGUUCCAGUGACUCAGCUGUGGGUGGAAGUGAUUUUAAAUAAUGACAGUAUCACCAUCUCCCCUCCCACAGUGUCACACAUCACCAAAGACAAGCUCCCUGGCCCUGAACCCAAUGAUUCAGCUACACCGCGCUGUGGUGAAGAGAACGAAGGGACUCAGACAAUGAUUCAUUAUGUAUCAUUGGCUGAACUCCUGUGUGGACUGUGCUGGCCUCAAACCUACAGGAUUCUCCUGCCUCUUCCUUCUAGUGCUGGGAUUAAAGGCCUUCACCACUAUGCUCCACACUUGAUAUAUUCCUAGAAGUCCAGUCUGCUCCGUUCCUGGGUGUGUAUCCCAGAAGACCUUGAACAUGUGUCCACAGAAGGACUUUUAGAUCAUCUUCACAGUAGUUCGUUCUUGGCAGCAAAAGUCUGGAAACAAGCCACGCACACUUACCAAGAGGAGAAUGGAUGAAUGACUUGUACACCCGUAUAACAGAGUACUAUCCUGUCACUAAAAUAAAUUAGCAACAUGUGAAAUAACAUUAGCGACACGCAAAAACAGUGUGUUGCUCCAGAGAAGCCAGACAGAAAGACUACACACAGUCAUCUACGAUGGCGAAUUAAUCUACUGUAGAGGCAGUGGCUCCCGCCUGCAACGGUGUGUAGAGGCCUGAAGGCAGCCUGGAUCUGCUCCUCAGCUAAGGUCCACCUUGUUUCGUUUGUUUACUAUUUAUUUAUUUCUGUUUACUUAUUUACUGGUUGUUGUUGUGGUGGGUUUUUGUUUGUUUGUUUUUUGAGACAGAGUUUCUCUGUGCAGUCCUGGCUGUCCUGAAACUCACUCUAUAGACCAGGCUGGCCUUGAACUCAGAGAUCUGCCUGCCUCUGCCUCCCAAGUGCUGGGAUUAAAGGUGUGUGCCACCAUGCCCAGCAUUUGUUUAAUAAAAAAAACAAUUAUGUGAAUGAA
Molecule: long non-coding RNA, 5149 nt
Organism: Meriones unguiculatus (Mongolian gerbil)
Lineage: Eukaryota; Metazoa; Chordata; Mammalia; Rodentia; Muridae
Exons: 2
Source: RefSeq, a predicted model, not a curated record